This 489-nucleotide ribosomal RNA is filed under the name Triticum aestivum (bread wheat). RNAcentral describes it as "partial small subunit ribosomal RNA". The record is from RNAcentral. Lineage: Eukaryota; Viridiplantae; Streptophyta; Magnoliopsida; Poales; Poaceae.
GUGUCACGCCUGAACUAUGGGAUUAUCUCGCUAAUCCCGAAGGUUCCGGGGGAUUCGGAUAUUUGGCAAUUUCGCCCAAUCACUGCUCUAAACGUGAUCUUUCAGAUCCUGGCCAAGAGUGCCACUAGGGCGGCCCUACUUGCCCCUCGGAUUCUUCAUCCUAUUCAGACGACAUUCACCGAAGGACGGUAUAUCAUAGAUGGGGUCCUCGUCCUACACGAGGUCCUUCAUGAGGCCAAAAGGAAAUGCAUACACACAUUUUUCUUUAAGAUUGACUUUCAUAAGGCAUAUGACACGGUCCACUGGUCUUUCCUUCGGGAGAUCAUGAUGAAGCAGGGAUUUGACCCCCAUUGGAUUGCGCUUGUUAUGCAACUAUUAUUGACCGCCGCACGGCGAUCAAUAUCGAUGAAGAGGUUGGCUCUUAUUUCCACAUGGCUCAAGGGGUGCGCCAGGGGGACCCCAUGUCGCCCUUCCUAUUCAACCUUGUAG